GGCGUUAUUGUUGUUGUUGUCGAGUUUACGCAAGCCGAUUGCUUUGGGCCGGGCCUAGUCAAAGUCCAGGGCUGUUUUUUAGUCCCAGUUCGUCCCUGCAUACACACACAGUAAACCCAAUGGUUAAUGUAAUCAAAAGAAAAAAAUCACUUAUGUCCCUAUGGACGUAACACAAUAUCAUACAAACCUUGUAUUUAAAGAGAAAAUAUAGAGAACAAAGCGUACUUAUGAGUUUUAUAUUUUCUGUGAUUCGGUUAAGCUUGUUCACAAACCCGUCCUGUUCUAAGGGUUCUAAACAAAAUUGUUCACGAAUCGAAACUGAAUCGACUUGUGCAGUUCUCCAGUCAGCAUUCGAAAUGGCUCACUUUAUGUCGUUCAAUACUUGCUGAUAUGUCGCCAUGUGAAUAAGUGAACAAUUCUGGAGAGAGCUAUAGAGUUGUUUUUGUAAAUUAGUUUUAAUAGGCCAGUUAUGAGUUGUUUUUAUGUGUAAAUAACCUUUAAUUAUUACGAUUAAUGGAAAUAACUAAUUCCCAGAAAGAGCUCACCUAAUGCACAUUUCAAUCAUGAUCCAUCUAUGUGCUUUUUUAACAAAAUGUGUCUGGUCGAGUAUCUAAGACAAAAGAUGGACACGAAGUGCGUUCAUGUAAAGUAACUGACAGGACCAGAAGUAUUACCAUAUCAAUGUGGGACGAAUUGGGCAGCCUGAUACAAACUGGAGACAUCAUCUGACUCAAUCGAGGGUGACAGUUUAUUAUGGAUGAUAUUACUUACAUGCAUCUUAUCUAGAAGGUUUUGAUUUGUUCUUUAUUAUUAUAGUGUUUUUUUUUUCAGAUAUGCAUCUCUCUUCAAAGUCUGCAAAAGGAUAUUUGGAGAACAGGGGACCUUCAGAAGAUCGGAGAGUAGGCCUUCACAGCUGAUUACAAUGAUGACAAUAACCAGCACUUUCUUGCAUCUACUGUAUCAAAGGUUCCGUAUGAUUUUCAGUGAGCCCAACCCAGAAGUGCUGACUAAAAUCAAUCAAAUAAACAACACCCACGUAAAAGCAGAAGCUCAUGGCAGCACUCCCAGUGUACCGAAUCCUGGGCCUCCUGCAGGACCUACAGGUCGAACCUUUACAAGCUUGACAGAUUGAUUGAAAAAGGAAGCAGUUUUAAAAAACAAUUUAUUCACAAAAACGACCCCAGAGGCCUCAAGUAGUGUUAUAAGUAAAAGUGGAAAAAGUAAAUUAAAUGGACUGUGGUUUGAGAGUUUGUUCCAGACAAAAGCAUGCUCAUCAGCAUUUUCCAUUUAGUGAAUUUUUGUAAUAGAACAAGGAAGUGAAAAUGUUGUUUUUACACAAGCAUAGUUCCCUUUAAUCGGUAUAGCCAAUCACCUUCAUAACAUGCUAAAAUUAUGUUUUGAGGAAAUUUGUAUGGGGCAGUCAUGUUGUUAGCCAAUGGGGAAGCCUAGUGGUUAGAGAGUUAGACUCCUAACCUUUAGGUUAUGGGUUUCUAGUCUCGGGCUGGCAAUGCCACGACUGAACUGCUCCCUGGGCACCACAGCAUAGAUGGCUACCCUCUGCUACAGGUGUUUGUUCACUGCUGUGUGCACUUUUGAUGGGUUAAAUGCAGAGCACAAAUUCUGAGUAUGGGUCACCAUACUAGGCUGUAUGUCAUGUCACUUUCAUGUGUUUUUUUUUUGUUUGUUUGUUUGUUUAAUCUAUCAAGAAUGUUACAAAAUUACUAUUUAGAGUAUUUUCAUUUUAUUUUAUUUAUUUGUUUUGCCUCAGCAAACAGAGAUUUUGUGAUCAUAUCAAAUGGAAUAAAAAAACAUGUAUU
This is a long non-coding RNA of Carassius auratus (goldfish), 1817 nucleotides long. RefSeq lists it as uncharacterized. The record is from RefSeq and is a predicted model, not a curated record. The transcript is spliced from 2 exons. Lineage: Eukaryota; Metazoa; Chordata; Actinopteri; Cypriniformes; Cyprinidae.